This 253-nucleotide ribosomal RNA is filed under the name uncultured bacterium. Its description in RNAcentral is "partial 16S ribosomal RNA". It matches the Rfam family "Bacterial small subunit ribosomal RNA", at positions 524 to 776 of the family's 1533-position model. The record is from RNAcentral.
GACGGACGGUGCAAGCGUUGCUCGGAAUCACUGGGCGUAAAGGGUGCGUAGGCGGCUUGGUAAGUUGGGUGUGAAAGCCCCGGGCUCAGCCCGGGAAGGGCACUCGAAACUGCCGAGCUGGAGUGCCGGAGGGGAGAGUGGAAUUCCUGGUGUAGCGGUGAAAUGCGUAGAGAUCGUAAGGAAGACCAGUGGCGAAGGCGAGUUUCUGGACGGUAACUGACGCUGAGGCACGGAGGCCAGGGGAGCAAACGGG